AACGCACAUUGCGCCCUUUGGCAUUCCGAAGGGCAUACCUGUUCGAGCGUCAUUUCAACCCUCAAGCCUGGCUUGGUGUUGGGCGUUUUGUCCCGCUACAUGCGCGGACUCGCCUCAAAAGAAUCGGCGUCUACAUGUGGGCCUGAUGCGUAGUAAAAUUCGCAGACCAGGCUGGCGUGCUGGCGGCCGGAACGUACAUAUCUUUUUGUUUGACCUCGGAUCAGGUAGGGAUACCCGCUGAACUUAA
RNAcentral lists this unclassified non-coding RNA (247 nucleotides) under uncultured Dothideomycetes. Its description in RNAcentral is "sequence contains ITS2". The record is from RNAcentral. Lineage: Eukaryota; Fungi; Ascomycota; Dothideomycetes.